Molecule: non-coding RNA, 1284 nt
Organism: Labrus bergylta (ballan wrasse)
Lineage: Eukaryota; Metazoa; Chordata; Actinopteri; Labriformes; Labridae
Source: RefSeq, a predicted model, not a curated record
CCUGUAGCUGUGAUGCUAACCCAGCAGCUAAGUACACCUGGAAGAUGUUAAUCAUGACCUUCAUCUGAUACAUACGUCUGCACUUUUGAACUUUAAUCGGAGGGAAACUCGUCUCACUGUGAAGUACAAACACCCUUCACUUUUAUCAUCAAACAUCUGAGACUCCUUCUCAUCAGAAAGUAUCUAAAACAAGAGGCCAAGUUGGAAGAAGACUUUAAUAAAAACGGGUCGUUGCUCUCUGAACCUCCCUCUAAUCUACCUAACAAGAAAUAAAACUAACCUACAGACAACAAGAGAGCUGAAAAUAAGACUGCUGGAUUUCAAUCAGGAGAGAUAAGUACAUGACUCAAAGCCUUAUUGUACUUCAUUAUGUGUUUUAUUCUGAUUUUAGGUUUGGCAUUGUAAACAUAUGUUUCCCACUUUACAAAACUCCUUAAUUUCUUAGUAUGAUGAUGUAUGUCUUACUAAAACAAACUAAUGUGCUGGUGGCGCAGUGGUUGGUGCGCAUGCCCCAUGUAUGGAGGCUAUGGUCCUCCAAGCGGGCAGCCCAGGUUCAAAUCCCACCUGUGGCUCCAUUCCCGCAUGUCAUACCCCACUCUCUCUCUUCCUGAUUUCCAACUCUUUCCACUGUCCUAUCUCUCCAAUUAAAGGCACAAAAAGCACAAAAAUAAAUCUUUAAAAAAAAAGUUUCCUUUUGUGAUCUUUUUAACUCAUGAACAUUCAAGACCCUUAAGUCCGGUUCUUCCCUCAGCUGUAGCCUUCACAUCAGGUCCAAUCUUUUAAACUUGUUUCCUUCCCAGUUCGUCCCAACAGGUUGUUCCAUGCAGGCUGAAUGUCUGGUUGUGGGUUAAAAAGCUUUGUUUCACAAUAAGGAGUAAGUUGAUUAAUGUAACUUUAAAACUGAUAUAUCACUCUAUUACUGACAAGGAUUACACAGGCCCAUAACUGUCCAAUGUUUCAAAACAAUCACAUUGAUAACCAGGAAUCUACCCUCAAGAUAAGACGACUUUGUGCACGUCAAAAUACCUGUCAUGUAGGGUCACAUGGUGCAUUCAUGUGGUGUCGGACACAUCGGAAAAACAAGUUUUCGAGUUGUAAAAUGCACAUGAACGCCUGCUCAAGUCGCAACAACAACUCGGAAACUCAGAAAAGAAUUAGGUGCCCGACUUUCCGACUUCCACGUCAGAAUCUCUAUGACAUGGGGCGCAAAAUAUAUCAUAUAUAUCAGCUCAAAUAUAACUCAUAACAGUAAAUGCCCAGGGACAACAGAUGGAAAUAAGCUAG